GACGAACGCUGGCGGCGUGCUUAACACAUGCAAGUCGAACGGAAAGGCCCUGCUUUUGUGGGGUGCUCGAGUGGCGAACGGGUGAGUAACACGUGAGUAACCUGCCCUUGACUUUGGGAUAACUUCAGGAAACUGGGGCUAAUACCGGAUAGGAGCUCCUGCUGCAUGGUGGGGGUUGGAAAGUUUCGGCGGUUGGGGAUGGACUCGCGGCUUAUCAGCUUGUUGGUGGGGUAGUGGCUUACCAAGGCUUUGACGGGUAGCCGGCCUGAGAGGGUGACCGGCAACAUGGGGACUGGGAUACGGCCCGGACUCUUACGGGAGGAAGCGGUGGGGAAUAUUGCACAAUGGGCGAAGGCCUGAUGCAGCAACGCCGCGGGCGGGAUGACGGCUUCGGGUUGUAAACCGCUUUCGCCUGUGACGAAGCGUGAGUGACGGUAAUGGGUAAAGAAGCACCGGCUAACUACGUG
Molecule: ribosomal RNA, 467 nt
Filed under: uncultured bacterium
Lineage: Bacteria
Description: partial 16S ribosomal RNA
Rfam family: Bacterial small subunit ribosomal RNA
Source: RNAcentral